CAUGGCUAGCAAGUUGUUCCAGCACCACUUAUAAACGGUUGAUCUUUCUGGCCACUUGCUCACAUGCUGUCUUCAGUGAUAUUUGGGCCAAUUCCUGGACUCAAGAUUUUGUUCCUUUUUUUUUUUUUCUGUGGUUCUUUGGCGCUAAGACCACACUGUUUUAAUUACUGUGGCUUUUAAUAUCCCAGAUAACCUCAUGACUCACCUUCUGCAGGUCUUUACUCAAAUACAGCCUUUUCUGUGAGAUCUUCCUCAAGCACCCUAUUUACAAUGCUGGCUUCCCUCUACCCCAACCCCUGCCCGCAACCACCUCCAUAUAGUCUCUGCUUUGCUUUAUUCUUCUCCUUAUCACAUGUUACCAUCUGUUAAUCGACAUAUUUUACUUAUUCAUUUGCGUACUGUCUGCAUAUCUAGACUAAGUUUCAUGAGAUGAUAAGUCCAUGAAAACAGGGAUUUUCAUUUCUUUGACUCACUUUUGUAUCCCCGGUGCCUGGAACACUGCCAAGCACAGAACAGAUUCCCAAAAAUAUUUAUUGAAUGAAUGACAAACCGGUAGAGAAAAACAUCCUACAUACAACCACUCCCCACCCCGAUUUUUUUUUCGAGAAUUCGUUGGCUCUUUUUACACAAUCUUUUGUCAUGAAAUAUAGUGCUAAAUUGACCAAGUCAAAAAGAAGAUCCAUGGGAUUUUGAAUGGGCCCAUGUUGAAUACACAGGUUAAUUUAGGAAGAAUUGACAACUUUACAGCUUUGAUUAUUUCCGAGGAAGAUCCAGUUAUUUCCCUAUUUUUUCAAGCCUUCUUUUAUUCCCUCAGUGUAGCAAAAUGAUUUUCUUUGUAAAGGCCCUAUGAAUUUCAUAUGAAGAUUGUUCCCAAUCAUGUUGUGAUGUUUUGUUAUUCAUUCACUUAUUCAAUAAAUGCUUCUUGUUGUCAAUCAUGUGCCAGACACUGUUCUAGGAGCUGGGAAUGCAGCAGUGAACAAAAAAUUGUUCUCUGCCCUCAUGGAUGUCAUGUUCUAAUAAGAAUGGAAUUCUUUUUUCCCUUAUAUUUUUUAACUAGCAAUAUUUGGUAUAAAAGAGAGCUAUUGAGUUUGGGGUACUUCUUUUAACAUAUCUUCUUACUAAAUUCUCUCAUCAUUUCUUUUUUUAAAGACUUUUAUUUUUCCCAUUAUAGUUGGUUUACAGUGUUCUGUCAAUUUUUUACUGUAUAGCAAAGUGACCCAAUCUCUCUCUCUCUCUCUCUCUCUCUCUCACACACACACACACACAUAUUUUUCUCACAUUAUCCUCCAUCUUUUUCCAUCACAAAUGACUAGAUAUAGUUCUAUUUUCCCCUUUUAUCUGUUGGCAAAAUGAAGUUUUCCAAUACAGUCCCUGUAUUUAUCCACAAUUGGAUUUCUGGAAAUUAAUUCCAUAUUUUUAGUCAAGAAGAAAAGUCACAAUUUUUUUAAAAUAUUUAGGACUGUAUAAUAUACCAGAAAUGAAUUUAGGUAUCAAAUUAUCUGAUAUGAUCCAAAUAUCUGAUAUGAUACAAUUGACAAUAGUUGUAUGCAACUGAUGCAAGUCAUUUUGAGAAAAUAUUAAUUUUUUACUCUUUGCUGGCAGACUGUUUAGGAACCUAACUCCCUGAGUCAGCUACUGUUGAGUCUAUUUUUUUAAUAAAACAUAAAACCAUGGUUCUCCAUUGAAAGUUAGAGAACAUAAAAUCUAUUGAUUUCUUUUAUAUUACUUUCUGUUUGCCAAUUACUUGUACAAACACUGAAGUAGCUAAAGAUUUAAUUUGCAUAUCCAACCACAAUAAAACAAGGAUGCCUGAGUAAAGUCUUACAUCACAGCUGUAAACUAAGAUUUUCUGAGGAGUUACAUUUGUCCUAAUAAUAUAAGACAGGGAUUAAGAGCAAUUAUACAACACCCAUUUCUGCAACUAAAGAAAUGAGGUUUGGCAGCCUGAAGAGUCUUGAGCAUGCUAACGCUGUCAGUAGCAGAGCGUGGACAAAAACUUUAGUUUUCUGCUUCACAUCAAAUACUCUUUCCACCGUGCUCUCCCUUUCAUUCGGCAUUACCUGCGUCACUAGAAACACUCAAAUAUGUUUCUUCACUUACCUAGAAAUUGUUGUGUUACCUUUGCCUAUUAUUUUAGGAGGAAAUCAUUUCUUAUAAAAUUCACAUAUGGCUUUUGAUUUUGUGGCAUCCUUUUCCUGGAGGUUCAAAGAAUGAGCGUAUGCUUGAAGAGUAAAUUCUUACAACAGGUCUGUGGGGCGGGGGUGUGGGGAGCAGAAAUGAUGAGUCUCCUGUGAUAUAAAUCAACAUUCUAAUCGUUAAAAAAUAGAUGCACUCAUUCAUAAGUGUCACAAAACACUCCAAACUGAAUAGGAAGGAAUAUCUGAAUGGAACUGAUAACAGCCAAGCCUGAAGAGGAAGCACAACAGCCCAUUACGAGCUAUUGAAAAUUUCCAUAGAGAGAAAAAAAAAAUGACAUACAGCAGGAAAUUCCUGACCAGUAGUGUAAUCUCUUACAUAAAAUGUGUUGGCAGAUAAAUGGAUUUUUAUGAUUUUGCUUACACCCACUACUUAUUGCCCCUUCAGAUAUGUCACCUUGUAACUGUAUUUUAACUUCACUCUAACUCUGUUUAAUGGAAUUGGAGGUUCAUCUUAAUCCCCUCAAAAUACUCUUGGUCCUUUGCCAAACAUGGGGGAAGAGGUUAGUAACUAAAACACUGAAACUUGCUAUAAGUUAGGCCUAGGAAAAUAUUAUAUUGCGAUUUAAUAUAGUAAUACCCUAAUUUACCAAUAUCGUACAUAGGAAUUAGGCAGUGGAAAAAAAAACUUUUUUGGCCGCGCCCACAGGACACAGAAGUUCCGGGCCAGGGAUCAAGCCUGAGCCACAGCAGUGACAACACUGGGUCCCUAACCUAGGUCACCAGGGAAUUCUAGCAUCGAGGCACAUGUUAAAUUCUGACCUAGGUGUUUUACUUAACAGUAUCUCAUUUCACUUUUAUAACUACACUGAAAAAUGACUAUUAUGCUCAUCCCACAGAGCAGAAGACUGAAUUUCUAGAAGAUACAGUUAUAUAAUCCAUGCCCUCCCACUUCCGAGGCAGACCUAGAUUUCGUAAUUCCUGGCUCUGCCACUUUCUGCCUGGGCAACCCUGGGCCAAUGUGAGCCUUCCUUUCCUCACUUGUAAAAUGAAAGUGAUGGCACCCGCCUUCCCACUUCAUAAGUUGGUGCGAAUCAACUUAACACUGAAAGCAAAACACGUUGGCGGUUACCACUGAACACAAACAAAAGGUUAAACGAAUAAGGGAAAGUGAUGGGAAUUGAUUUCUAAAUUAUUUUUCUCAGACACUUUGUUUUCAAUGCUUGAUUACACAAUACUGAGCUGUGUUUUCCAGGCAAGGUCUUUCUGGUUGAGCGUCAAUGAAUCAUUUCCUUCAUAUUCAGAUGAAAGAUAUGCCUGGGUAGGUUGGGUUCCCACCCUGCUUUAUCUUAACAAUCCAUACAUUGCAGGUAAGCAAACAAUUAGGAUUGUUAAGAAUAUCACUCCUGGGCGUCUUAGGGUUCCCUCUCUGCAGAAAUUUCCAGCACAAAAGACAAGGACUGUAGGGUCACUGACCUACUGACACUGGGUCUACAAUGACUAACUUCCAUACCGGUAAAAUGAGAAGCAAGAGGAAUAAUUUCGGCAUUUUCCAUUUACCUUGUCAAGUAAACUUGAUUUUCAAAGGAAAUCUCAAGCGGCUCCACAACAUAAACAGAUCAUAAAAGCAAUAUUUCAUUAGAGUAAUUUAUCGGUUCAAUUUUGUUACAUGUUUUUAUUAUAAGAUUAAUAAAUGACACAAUGAGCUUUAAGGAACACAAAAAAUUUGAAAUUGGAAGUUAUUCGUGACAGUGAUACAAAUCACUCAGGAUCCAAAAAUUUCGUUUUGCUGUUUUCACUAAAAUUGAGAGAAGUUUGAUCCACAAGCAGUUGCAAAUGAGAACAGUUUAUGUUGGUUGGUGGCUUGGUCUUAUUUUUGUGGUUUGGAUGUUUUAUCCUGUGUUCAUAUUUAACAGCUUAUAUUGCUUUUCAAUUAAACAGUUAGCCAGAGAGAAUUUGUUUGGAAAUGUGCACAGAAAUAAGUUAACCUGGCCAUAUAAGUUAACAUCAUCAUAAUUUAAUAUUGUUCUGAAGGUAUGUGUAGAUCAAAUGAUUGUUUAGCUGAGGGACUCAAGAGAAUCAGCUGAAAAACUAUAUAAACAAUGAAAGACUCCAGUAUGGUAAAAACCACAAUAUGGAAAAAUCAAUAGUCUUCAUACACACAAACAACAACCAGAAGAGAUAACAGAAUCAUUCUACUCACCAAAAAAAAAAAAAAAAAAAAAA
This 4361-nucleotide long non-coding RNA is filed under the name Sus scrofa (pig). RNAcentral describes it as "lncRNA (ENSSSCG00060028947.1)". Lineage: Eukaryota; Metazoa; Chordata; Mammalia; Artiodactyla; Suidae. The record is from RNAcentral.